UGCNAGUCGAACGGCAGCGCGGGGGCAACCGUGGCGGCGAGUGGCGAACGGGUGAGUAAUAUAUCGGAACGUACCCAAGAGUGGGGGAUAACGUAGCGAAAGUUACGCUAAUACCGCAUACGAUCUAAGGAUGAAAGCAGGGGAUCGCAAGACCUUGUGCUCCUGGAGCGGCCGAUAUCUGAUUAGCUAGUUGGUGGGGUAAAGGCCCACCAAGGCAACGAUCAGUAGCUGGUCUGAGAGGACGACCAGCCACACUGGAACUGAGACACGGUCCAGACUCCUACGGGAGGCAGCAGUGGGGAAUUUUGGACAAUGGGGGCAACCCUGAUCCAGCAAUGCCGCGUGAGUGAAGAAGGCCUUCGGGUUGUAAAGCUCUUUUGUCAGGGAAGAAAAGGCUGUGGCUAAUAUCCACAGCUGCUGACGGUACCUGAAGAAUAAGCACCGGCUAACUACGUGCCAGCAGCCGCGGUAAUACGUAGGGUGCAAGCGUUAAUCGGAAUUACUGGGCGUAAAGCGUGCGCAGGCGGUUUCGUAAGUCUGUCGUGAAAUCCCCGGGCUUAACCUGGGAAUGGCGAUGGAGACUGCGAAGCUAGAGUUUGGCAGAGGGGGGUAGAAUUCCACGUGUAGCAGUGAAAUGCGUAGAGAUGUGGAGGAACACCGAUGGCGAAGGCAGCCCCCUGGGUCAAAACUGACGCUCAUGCACGAAAGCGUGGGGAGCAAACAGGAUUAGAUACCCUGGUAGUCCACGCCCUAAACGAUGUCUACUAGUUGUUGGGUCUUAAUUGACUUAGUAACGCAGCUAACGCGUGAAGUAGACCGCCUGGGGAGUACGGUCGCAAGAUUAAAACUCAAAGGAAUUGACGGGGACCCGCACAAGCGGUGGANNAUGUGGAUUAAUUCGAUGCAACGCGAAAAACCUUACCUACCCUUGACAUGGCAGGNAUCCCGGAGAGAUUUGGGA
This 961-nucleotide ribosomal RNA is filed under the name uncultured bacterium. RNAcentral describes it as "bacterial SSU rRNA". It matches the Rfam family "Bacterial small subunit ribosomal RNA", at positions 56 to 1013 of the family's 1533-position model. The record is from RNAcentral.